AACUGCUGCGGUUUCUAACAUUGUCUGCAUUUUAGAAAUCUCCCCUCUUCACGUAGCCUACUAUGUGGAUUCACACCUACAACCAGCCUAUUGACUUCAGACUGUCUCCCCCUCCCCCCACCCCCCAUCAUCAGACUCGACACAGCUUAUGUUGUCUGAUCUCACGAAUCUCACUACAAUAAUUUCACAGUGAUAUGAUUUAUAGUAAAAUUAAAAUAUGCAAAACAUGUAUUUUCAGAAAGUGUUCCUAUGUCUCUCUUCACCCUGAUAUUGUUAUAAAGUAAAACAUGUUCUGUCUUUGUUUUUACAUGUUGGUGCUUCUAGGACGACAGUGUAGUAGAUCCUGACUACAGCAUUGAAGUUUACACAGAGGAAGAUGAUAUUGAUAUUGAUGACGAUGAUGAUGACGAUUCUCCAGGCGAAGACACCUCAAGGAAGAAAGCAAGGACUGAAAGUGGAGGCAGAGGAAACCAUGGCAGGGGAAUGAAAGGCAGGGGCCGUGGUUUUCCACAACACAAAAAAAAACCAAACACAUCAGGCCAACAAGUUGUGGAGGCAGAGGAAACGAGCAGAGGAGCCAGAAAAAGAACAGGCCCUUCUAGAGGCAGCCGAGGCAGAGGCAGGGGGGGCCGUGGUGUGACAUAGGGUGGAGAGGACUGUGAUGAGGAGAGACCAGGAACCAGCAGAGAUGUUCCUAGCAGAGCAAGAAGAAGAGCAAGAGGUCGCCGGGGACGUGGACCUGCUGUUCUUACUCAUGAUGAUCUACUCAGAGUUCAGCAAUUUCAGCAGGAGAGGAUUGCCGCUGAGCAGGCUAGAAUUCAAGCUCUAGACAUCACACAGUCUCAUGAGCUGCUUCUGACCUGCCUGGAAAGGGACCCAAGCAUGCUGUUUGACCUGAUGGCACACUCACAGGUUCAGGAUGAUUCCCAAAUUAUUCGAACACCCGGGCAACCAGAGUGGUGUGUCUGUGGCAGAUGCAGGCAGAUGAUUAGAGACAUUGAGAAGGUGUGCUGCCGACAAACGCUGGAAAAUUGCAUCUCUGUCCUGCCUCACAUGGAUGCCUUCAUCUUGCAGCCGGGGGUCCUCCGCAUGGCUAGACGCAUCUGGAAUGACUCCCGAGCAUUAGAUGAUGCACAAACACCGGGGGAAAGCCACAGGCAGUUCCGCUUUUCUGCAUAUAGACAGUAUAUAAUUUGGCAGUAUGGUCAACUUGGACAAGGCCACAGAGUUGUCAUACCAAGUUGCUGUGUUUGGAGAAUACGUGAAACAUACCCAGACCCCAAUGGGAUCUACAAAGGUUUUAUCCCUAGCCGAAAUGGUAUAGAUGAGGAAUAGACUCCAGCCCAGUGUACCCUGCCCUGUGAAUUAUGUACAUGGUACUGUCUUAUUACUGUAUAUUUUGGCCAUAGUUAGUGACCCAUGUUUCUAAAUUAAAAAUACAUAUUUACUCU
This is a long non-coding RNA of Gadus morhua (Atlantic cod), 1451 nucleotides long. RefSeq lists it as uncharacterized. The record is from RefSeq and is a predicted model, not a curated record. The transcript has 2 exons. Lineage: Eukaryota; Metazoa; Chordata; Actinopteri; Gadiformes; Gadidae.